UACGUAGGGCGCAAGCGUUAUCCGGAAUUAUUGGGCGUAAAGAGCUCGUAGGCGGUUUGUCGCGUCUGCCGUGAAAGUCCGGGGCUCAACUCCGGAUCUGCGGUGGGUACGGGCAGACUAGAGUGUGGUAGGGGAGACUGGAAUUCCUGGUGUAGCGGUGAAAUGCGCAGAUAUCAGGAGGAACACCGGUGGCGAAGGCGGGUCUCUGGGCCGG
This 214-nucleotide ribosomal RNA is filed under the name uncultured bacterium. RNAcentral's name for it is "partial 16S ribosomal RNA". It matches the Rfam family "Bacterial small subunit ribosomal RNA", at positions 524 to 737 of the family's 1533-position model. The record is from RNAcentral.